This 502-nucleotide ribosomal RNA is filed under the name uncultured bacterium. RNAcentral describes it as "partial 16S ribosomal RNA". The record is from RNAcentral.
GGAGUUAGCCGGUGCUUCUUCUGUGAGUGAUGUCCUUCCUGCCGGCUAUUAACCCGCAGGCCUUCUUCCUCACUGAAAGUGCUUUACAACCCGAAGGCCUUCUUCACACACGCGGCAUGGCUGGAUCAGGGUUGCCCCCAUUGUCCAAUAUUCCCCACUGCUGCCUCCCGUAGGAGUCUGGGCCGUGUCUCAGUCCCAGUGUGGCUGAUCAUCCUCUCAGACCAGCUACGGAUCGUCGCCUUGGUGAGCCGUUACCUCACCAACCAGCUAAUCCGACAUAGGCUCAUCCGAUAGCGCGAGGCCCGAAGGUCCCCCGCUUUCCCCCGUAGGGCGUAUGCGGUAUUAGCCUGGGUUUCCCCAGGUUAUCCCCCACUACCGGGCAGAUUCCUAUGCAUUACUCACCCGUCCGCCGCUCGCCACCAGGGAGCAAGCUCCCCGUGCUGCCGCUCGACUUGCAUGUGUAGCUGCCGCCAGCGUCAUCUGAGCAGAAUACAACUACUGA